This 253-nucleotide ribosomal RNA is filed under the name uncultured bacterium. Its description in RNAcentral is "partial 16S ribosomal RNA". It matches the Rfam family "Bacterial small subunit ribosomal RNA", at positions 524 to 776 of the family's 1533-position model. The record is from RNAcentral.
UACGGAGGGUGCAAGCGUUGUUCGGAAUCACUGGGCGUAAAGCGCGUGUAGGCGGCUUCGUAAGUCUGGUGUGAAAGCCCGGGGCUCACCCCCGGAAGUGCACUGGAAACUGCAAGGCUCGAGUACCGGAGAGGAGGGUGGAAUUCCUGGUGUAGCGGUGAAAUGCGUAGAUAUCAGGAGGAACACCGGUGGCGAAGGCGGCCCUCUGGACGGAUACUGACGCUGAGACGCGAAAGCGUGGGGAGCAAACAGG